RNAcentral lists this ribosomal RNA (490 nucleotides) under uncultured bacterium. RNAcentral describes it as "partial 16S ribosomal RNA". It matches the Rfam family "Bacterial small subunit ribosomal RNA", at positions 28 to 507 of the family's 1533-position model. The record is from RNAcentral.
GAUGAACGCUAGCGAUAGGCUUAACACAUGUAAGUCGAGGGGCAGCAUGGUCUUAGCUUGCUAAGGCCGAUGGCGACCGGCGCACGGGUGCGUAACGCGUAUGCAACUUGCCUCACAGAGGGGGCUAACCCGUCGAAAGACUGACUACUACCGCUUACACUCUAUGUUGGGCUUCCUAUGUAGAGGAAAUGAAAUUCGCUGUGAGAUAGGCAUGCGUCCCAUUAGCUAGUUGGUGAGGUAACGGCACACCAAGGCGGCGAUGGGGAGGGGAACUGAGAGGUGGAACCCCCGGACUGGUACUGAGACACGGACCAGACUCCGACGGGAGGCAGCAGUAAGGAAUAUUAGGCAAUGGGCGAGAGCCUGAACCAGCCAAGUCGCGUGAAGGAUGACUGUCUUAUGGAUUGUAAACUUCUUUGAUACGGGAAUAGCAAGAGUCACGAGUGGCGUCCUGAAUGUACCGAAUGAAUAAGCAUCGGCUAACUACGUG